This 221-nucleotide non-coding RNA is filed under the name Cognatiyoonia sediminum. The record is from RNAcentral. Lineage: Bacteria; Pseudomonadati; Pseudomonadota; Alphaproteobacteria; Rhodobacterales; Paracoccaceae.
CGCACACCUAUUCUGCACGGUUCCUUGACAGGUGCGAAGCGCCUUGAGGAUGAAACUGGGAAUGUGGACGGGCCGAUCCAAUCCGGAGGCCCAAAGCCACAGCCGCCCCCGCGACUGUAUGCGCAGAGCAGGUGCCAAUAACGCCACUGGGACAAUCCCGGGAAGGCAGGCACUCGCAUAGACACGCAAGCCAGGAGACCGGCCGCGCUGAAACGAAACAA